This is a long non-coding RNA of Helianthus annuus (common sunflower), 283 nucleotides long. RefSeq lists it as uncharacterized. The record is from RefSeq and is a predicted model, not a curated record. Lineage: Eukaryota; Viridiplantae; Streptophyta; Magnoliopsida; Asterales; Asteraceae. The transcript is spliced from 2 exons.
UAUAUAAUUAUAUUAUAUUAUAUAUUUCUUAACAUUUAUCGUUUAGUCAUUCUAAUAUGGCAGGGAUAUAUGCAACCUUUUCUCUCAUGCUUCCAUCGGAUGAACAGGUGAUGAGGUACGAUCUCGAUAUGCACCAAAAGCCUAGCAUAAACCGGGGAUAGGAGCUGAUGAAGAUCGGAAUAAGAUUGUUAUCAUGAACGAUACAAAUUUAUGAGUUCCCCUCAAAACUUCAAGAUUGUUAUGUACGAAUUUUUGAGUUCCCCUCAAAACUUAAAGAUUGUUA